Molecule: non-coding RNA, 217 nt
Organism: Pelobates cultripes (western spadefoot toad)
Lineage: Eukaryota; Metazoa; Chordata; Amphibia; Anura; Pelobatidae
Source: the annotation of a GenBank genome assembly
UGAGCUCAUUAAAUAUGGUGAAUCUCAUUCAAUAGACAGAAAGAAGUGUGACCACUAAAUCCAUAAUCACAUGAUAUUAACACUAUAGUAACACCACUGAUAACAUGAUCAAAACAACAGGCACAUGGGCAUCCCACUAUUUUAACAUUUAAACAUGAAUCAACAUGUUUCACCCAGUGUGGAUAAAAAUAGUACCCAAAAACAAGUAUUACAUAAA